This 330-nucleotide ribosomal RNA is filed under the name uncultured bacterium. RNAcentral's name for it is "bacterial SSU rRNA". It matches the Rfam family "Bacterial small subunit ribosomal RNA", at positions 568 to 898 of the family's 1533-position model. The record is from RNAcentral.
UCCGUAGGCGGUGUGACAAGUCGGUAGUGAAAUCUCCGGGCUUAACCCGGAGGCUGCUGCCGAAACUGUUGUGCUAGAGUGUGAGAGAGGCGAGUGGAAUUACGGGUGUAGCGGUGAAAUGCGUAGAUAUCCGUAGGAACAUCCGAGGCGAAAGCGGCUCGCUGGAUCACAACUGACGCUGAGGGACGAAAGCUAGGGGAGCAAACAGGAUUAGAUACCCUGGUAGUCCUAGCCCUAAACCAUCAGGACUUGGGGUUUGCCCUGUACGGGGCAAGUCCCGGAGCUAACGCGUUAAGUCCUGCGCCUGGGGAGUACGGUCGCAAGGCUGAA